Mustela lutreola (European mink) is the source of this 955-nucleotide long non-coding RNA. RefSeq lists it as uncharacterized. The transcript is spliced from 2 exons. Lineage: Eukaryota; Metazoa; Chordata; Mammalia; Carnivora; Mustelidae. The record is from RefSeq and is a predicted model, not a curated record.
CUUCCCUCGCUUCUCUGCGUGUCUUUAUCAUUUUAAAACUAGACACUUGACAGAAGAUGUGGAAGCCCUAGUCUCGCCGUCUCUGUGGUUUUGCUGCUGUUUGUACAGUGACUUCAUGAACGAGUUCUGGGAAGCUUGUCUGUCUGCAGCUCGCCCGGUGGUCAGCCGAGGAUUGGAAGGAGAGCUUCCCAAAUUCUGGGAGCCCGUGCGUGCCCCAGGCUUUGUCGCAGGGGCCCCUCGUGUGGCUGUGACCCCCGGCCAGGUGGCCCGCGUGCAGGGUCUCCCCAGGCCCGUACGGAGUGCGGGCACAGCUCUGGCACGCGCACGGCCUCCCAGAUUCCCGGGCACGUGUAGGAGCCUCCCCGGUCUCCCCCGGCACAUCUCAGUCCCCAGCGCUUGCUGUUAAGCUUGUUGCUGGUCUAUUUUUGCCACAACCGCUGUCCACUGCCUCAGGCGGCCGCCGGGUUACACAGCCGCCUCUGAUCCUUUCUUCCAGCGAAUUCCCGUGGAGAAACGGCGCUUCCUUCCUGGGGGUCGUCAUUCCAGAAACAGCCUCAUAAUGUUGACACGUCUGAAGCUCAUGCUUGACACGGUCUGACGUCUGUGUGGCCCCAGCGAACACCCCCAGCACCCGCCAGGCUCGUGUGAUCCGCGAGCGCUCCCUCCUGCCCUCUGCUCGGCCCGCCAUCUCCAGGCAACCACUGACCUGCUUUCUGUCGCUGCAGAUGCGCUGCGCUUGUCUCCCGUCUGAUGUCAGCGCGAUCAUCCUGUCAGGCGGCAUCAUCAUUCGGAGACCGAGCUCCGUGGCCGUGCGCACCGUUUCCUGCCGAACGCAGUUCCCUUGUAAGGACGCGCCGCGGCUGGCUGAGCCAUGCCUGUCGAUGGACAUGUGGGUUGCUUCUUGUUUCUGGCUAUUAAAAAAAAAAAUAAAACUGCUGUGGACAUUCCUGCACAA